Molecule: ribosomal RNA, 197 nt
Filed under: uncultured Nitrosomonas sp.
Lineage: Bacteria; Pseudomonadati; Pseudomonadota; Betaproteobacteria; Nitrosomonadales; Nitrosomonadaceae
Description: partial 16S ribosomal RNA
Rfam family: Bacterial small subunit ribosomal RNA
Source: RNAcentral
ACUCCUACGGGAGGCAGCAGUGGGGAAUUUUGGACAAUGGGCGCAAGCCUGAUCCAGCAAUGCCGCGUGAGUGAAGAAGGCCUUCGGGUUGUAAAGCUCUUUCAGUCGAGAAGAAGAAAUUGUGACUAAUACUCACAAUUCAUGACGGUAUCGACAGAAGAAGCACCGGCUAACUACGUGCCAGCAGCCGCGGUAAU